Molecule: ribosomal RNA, 322 nt
Filed under: Stanwellia sp. MYG421
Lineage: Eukaryota; Metazoa; Arthropoda; Arachnida; Araneae; Nemesiidae
Description: partial 12S ribosomal RNA
Source: RNAcentral
UCUUUUUAUAAAAAGGUAAUAUUUUUGAAAAAACCUAUGCUCUUUGACGGCCCUCUUUCUUAUUAAAGGAACUUGUUAUUUUCGAAAAUACCCGCUUAAUUUUACUCUCUUUAUGCCUUUAUACCGCCGUCUUAAGAAUUUAUUCCUAUAUACUUUCUAAAUAGUUAUUUCUAAAAAGUCAGGUCAAGGUGAAGCUAUAAUUUAGGUAUUAAUAAGUUAUUUAUUAAAAAAAUUAAUGGAAAUUAAAUUAAAAUUCAUAAAAAUCAAGAUUUAAAAGUAUAAAUUAAAUAAAAUUUUAUUUAGAAUUAGUAAAAGAGGGUGU